Molecule: long non-coding RNA, 363 nt
Organism: Onthophagus taurus
Lineage: Eukaryota; Metazoa; Arthropoda; Insecta; Coleoptera; Scarabaeidae
Source: RefSeq, a predicted model, not a curated record
UUCUAAAUAGGUUGUAUAUUCAAAGUGUUUUUAACAGUUUGAAGGUAACAGUUUUUAAAAUGAAAUUCUUGUUUUUUGCAUUCGCUUUAGCUGUAAUGCUAAGCGUAAUUUUUGCUUCGCCGGUUCAACCUGAUCCAAGGGAAUCUUACCAUCUUGUUAAAAGAUCUGCUGAUAAUAUUCCAGAAGAAAAUCUUGAUCAUUUGAUUGAAAAACGUGAAGCUAGAAGAUCUGGUGUUAUUAAGUCGGCUGUUUAUGUCGCCAGCAUAGGAAAAUAAGAUUAUUUUGUUGUUUUGUUAUCUUAUCAUAUCAGAAGAUGUAUUAACUAGUCCUUAUGUUAAUGAAAUAUAAGUUUUUGUUGGGUUA